ACUUGUUAUUUUACUCUAUGUCAAAUACUAACAGGAGAAAGAUGUUUCAUCCACAAGACUGUGACUUCUCAAACACACAGCUUUACAAGGUGACAUUCGGCUUCGGGAUGGACUCUCAGAUGACCCCAGUGGACGCUGGAAAUGAAGGCAAUCAUGCUGAGGGCCUGGCAGUCACACUUCAGCUAAGAGAAACCCUUCCUUCUACAGUUUUCUUUAAGGAAAUGUAGUUUUAUUCUCCUAUUUAGCAAUAUAUUCCGUGUCCUCCAAACUCUAAGUUACAAGUUUUUUCAAAUAAGAACUUGAAAAAGUACCAAAGUUUGGGACACUAGGGACAGACUAUCAUUGGUACAGCAGCCUCAGCCUGGUUUCCAUCAAGGACCGGCUGUGAAAUGGAGGGGCUCGGAGGGCCACAGUCAAGAGCCUAGUGAGUUGGAAUUCCGUUAACAGCUCUACCUCUCUUCCGCUGUGUAACCUCGGGCUAGAGUUCAGAAGUGAGUGGUCUGGAUUCAGAAGACUGCCAGAAGCUAAGUGAGGUACAUCACAAAGGAACACAGGACUGUGAGCUAGAACAGGAGAGUGAAUGUUCGCUGGGGCCUUCCAGAAGACAGUUCAGUCUUAGCAAACUGGCCAGGAAGGAUUUUCAUCAAGAUGGAGGAAAAACCUGGAGAUCUUUGGCUCAAAGGACAUGACCUAAUUCUACAGAUGAAUCUGUACUGACGUUAGAAAACCACUGGUGGAACAUAAAACUUGUACAUUCUUCUAAAAAUGAAGGUAGAUCACAGCAGACUCAAUCUAUUUAUAGCCAGUCAUAUCAACAUUACUGAUUGGGAAUUACCAAAAGAGGUGAAAUUAUUUAACAAAUCCUUUGUUAAGUCAUAUUCUGAACCUACAGAUGUCAAUUUCAGGUGUUUAUUUUUUAAAUAAAGAUAAUUAAAACACUAAAAA
RNAcentral lists this long non-coding RNA (945 nucleotides) under Homo sapiens (human). RNAcentral's name for it is "non-protein coding lnc-SERAC1-1:2". Lineage: Eukaryota; Metazoa; Chordata; Mammalia; Primates; Hominidae. The record is from RNAcentral.